This 106-nucleotide transfer RNA is filed under the name Burkholderia vietnamiensis. Its description in RNAcentral is "tRNA-Ser". The record is from RNAcentral. Lineage: Bacteria; Pseudomonadati; Pseudomonadota; Betaproteobacteria; Burkholderiales; Burkholderiaceae.
GGAGCGGUUAAUGUGAGAGGUUAAACGGUGUAACCGUUUGAUUUAUAAAGAAGACGGGCGGCCUGCAAAGCCGUUUAGGCCGGUUCGACUCCGGCUCGCGCCUCCA